UAAACACACACCGACACCCAGAAUUCUGAAUUUUGAGCCAGUAUUUUCCCUCAGCGCUCCACUGUAAACUGGGAGAGCACUCACCUUCCAAACACCAGUGGAACGCAGGCUUCCUGAUAAUCAACCUCCAGCCGGACUACAACAAAAAAGUACCUCCAGACUGCUGGACUGACUCAGCGCUGCCGGCCCACUGAUCUGGUUCAACUCUGCAACACAGGCGUUGCCACAGCCAACUAGCCUUCUCCACCGUGACCUCUGAUCUCACGCCGAUCCUCUGCAUGUCUGGUUGACGCCAGUGUUGCCAUGCAGUUUUUCAGUGCAUUUGAAACAGACAAGGAGUCUCUCCUCUCCCUAAAGGCAG
Long non-coding RNA from Synchiropus splendidus (mandarinfish), 361 nucleotides. RefSeq lists it as uncharacterized. The record is from RefSeq and is a predicted model, not a curated record. The transcript is spliced from 3 exons. Lineage: Eukaryota; Metazoa; Chordata; Actinopteri; Syngnathiformes; Callionymidae.